CCAGAGUUGGCAAUCUGUGGUAGAGAUUUUUGAAGAGUGAAUGAUCAGUCCAUAAUGGAUGAAGAUGAUAUGGGAAGAAGCUGGAGUGGAGGUUCAUCCUCUUCUGAAGGGUUAUUACAAAGGCAGUUGUCUGAUAGAAACAUAGACCCCAUAGUUAAAAUGUAAUUCCUGGUGAGUGCUAUAUCCAUAAGUCUUUUUGAAAAAGAUGGAGUUGGAUUGUCACAAUUGUAAAUAAUACAAAACCAAAUUGAA
Long non-coding RNA from Pocillopora verrucosa, 252 nucleotides. RefSeq lists it as uncharacterized. NCBI's taxonomy places the organism in Eukaryota, Metazoa, Cnidaria, Anthozoa, Scleractinia, Pocilloporidae. The record is from RefSeq and is a predicted model, not a curated record.